UGGGGAAUCUUCCGCAAUGGACGAAAGUCUGACGGAGCAACGCCGCGUGAGUGAAGACGGCCUUCGGGUUGUAAAACUCUGUGAUCCGGGACGAAAGAGCCUAAGGUUAAUAGCCUAAGGAAGUGACGGUACCGGAAAAGCAAGCCACGGCUAACUACGUGCCAGCAGCCGCGGUAAUACGUAGGUGGCAAGCGUUGUCCGGAAUUAUUGGGCGUAAAGCGCGCGCAGGCGGCUUUCUAAGUCCAUCUUAAAAGUGCGGGGCUUAACCCCGUGAUGGGAUGGAAACUGGGAAGCUGGAGUAUCGGAGAGGAAAGUGGAAUUCCUAGUGUAGCGGUGAAAUGCGUAGAGAUUAGGAAGAACACCGGUGGCGAAGGCGACUUUCUGGACGAAAACUGACGCUGAGGCGCGAAAGCGUGGGGAGCAAACAGG
Molecule: ribosomal RNA, 429 nt
Filed under: uncultured Dialister sp.
Lineage: Bacteria; Bacillati; Bacillota; Negativicutes; Veillonellales; Veillonellaceae
Description: bacterial SSU rRNA
Rfam family: Bacterial small subunit ribosomal RNA
Source: RNAcentral